Molecule: ribosomal RNA, 525 nt
Filed under: uncultured bacterium
Lineage: Bacteria
Description: bacterial SSU rRNA
Rfam family: Bacterial small subunit ribosomal RNA
Source: RNAcentral
CCCAGCGUAGUUCGGAUUCAUUGGGCGUAAAGGGCGCGUANGCGGCGGGGUAAGUCUGGUGUGAAAUCUAGGAGCUCAACUCCUAAACUGCACUGGAUACUGCUCUGCUANAGGACUGGAGAGGAGACUGGAAUUCACGGUGUAGCAGUGAAAUGCGUACAUAUCGUGAGGAANACCAGUGGCGAAGGCGGGUCUCUGGACAGUUCCUGACGCUGAGGCGCGAAGGCCAGNGGAGCAAACGGGAUUAGAUACCCCGGUAGUCCUGGCAGUAAACGGUGCACGUUUGGUGUGCGCGGAUUCGACCCCGUGCGUGCCGGAGCUAACGCGUUAAACGUGCCGCCUGAGAAGUACNGUCGCAAGAUUAAAACUCAAAGGAAUUGACGGGGGCUCGCACAAACCGUGGAGUAUGUGGCUUAAUUCGAUGCAACGCCAAGAACUUACUGCGCUUGAAAUGCAUCCUGUCUCCGUGAAAAGCCGACUAAUGUUANCANUACCCCUUGCACCAGGUGCNUGCAUGGCUGUCUU